RNAcentral lists this ribosomal RNA (679 nucleotides) under Flavobacterium psychrophilum. RNAcentral describes it as "bacterial SSU rRNA". It matches the Rfam family "Bacterial small subunit ribosomal RNA", at positions 632 to 1319 of the family's 1533-position model. The record is from RNAcentral. Lineage: Bacteria; Pseudomonadati; Bacteroidota; Flavobacteriia; Flavobacteriales; Flavobacteriaceae.
ACUGUUUGGCUGAAAUUAUUUGGAAGUAACUAGAAUAUGUAGUGUAGCGGUGAAAUGCUUAGAGAUUACAUGGAAUACCAAUUGCGAAGGCAGGUUACUACAAAUUGAUUGACGCUGAUGGACGAAAGCGUGGGUAGCGAACAGGAUUAGAUACCCUGGUAGUCCACGCCGUAAACGAUGGAUACUAGCUGUUGGGAGCAAUCUCAGUGGCUAAGCGAAAGUGAUAAGUAUCCCACCUGGGGAGUACGUUCGCAAGAAUGAAACUCAAAGGAAUUGACGGGGGCCCGCACAAGCGGUGGAGCAUGUGGUUUAAUUCGAUGAUACGCGAGGAACCUUACCAAGGCUUAAAUGUAGAUUGACCGGUUUGGAAACAGACUUUUCGCAAGACAAUUUACAAGGUGCUGCAUGGUUGUCGUCAGCUCGUGCCGUGAGGUGUCAGGUUAAGUCCUAUAACGAGCGCAACCCCUGUUGUUAGUUGCCAGCGAGUCAUGUCGGGAACUCUAGCAAGACUGCCAGUGUAAACUGUGAGGAAGGUGGGGAUGACGUCAAAUCAUCACGGCCCUUACGCCUUGGGCUACACACGUGCUACAAUGGCCGGUACAGAGAGCAGCCACUACGCAAGUAGGAGCGAAUCUACAAAACCGGUCUCAGUUCGGAUCGGAGUCUGCAACUCGACUCC